UGGGGAAUUUUGGACAAUGGGCGAAAGCCUGAUCCAGCAAUGCCGCGUGUGUGAAGAAGGCCUUCGGGUUGUAAAGCACUUUUGUCCGGAAAGAAAUCCUUGGCUCUAAUACAGUCGGGGGAUGACGGCACCGGAAGAAUAAGCACCGGCUAACUACGUGCCAGCAGCCGCGGUAAUACGUAGGGUGCAAGCGUUAAUCGGAAUUACUGGGCGUAAAGCGUGCGCAGGCGGUUUGCUAAGACCGAUGUGAAAUCCCCGGGCUCAACCUGGGAACUGCAUUGGUGACUGGCAGGCUAGAGUAUGGCAGAGGGGGGUAGAAUUCCACGUGUAGCAGUGAAAUGCGUAGAGAUGUGGAGGAAUACCGAUGGCGAAGGCAGCCCCCUGGGCCAAUACUGACGCUCAUGCACGAAAGCGUGGGGAGCAAACAGGAUUAGAUACCCUGGUAGUCCACGCCCUAAACGAUGUCAACUAGUUGUUGGGGAUUCAUUUCCUUAGUAACGUAGCUAACGCGUGAAGUUGACCGCCUGGGGAGUACGGUCGCAAGAUUAAAACUUAAAGGAAUUGACGGGGUCAUAGCUGUUUCCU
This 585-nucleotide ribosomal RNA is filed under the name uncultured bacterium. RNAcentral describes it as "partial 16S ribosomal RNA". It matches the Rfam family "Bacterial small subunit ribosomal RNA", at positions 355 to 1375 of the family's 1533-position model. The record is from RNAcentral.